Molecule: long non-coding RNA, 1313 nt
Filed under: Betta splendens (Siamese fighting fish)
Lineage: Eukaryota; Metazoa; Chordata; Actinopteri; Anabantiformes; Osphronemidae
Description: lncRNA (ENSBSLG00000000834.1)
Source: RNAcentral
AUGAGGCACACACUGGUCCAGCGCUACUCGGUGUCUCCUAGAGACAAGUGUUCAAAAAAAGCAAGCCGAUUUCCCAGGAUCUUGACACAUCUAAUUGAGAUUUCAUGGCCUAUUUUCCUCCAGAUUCGAAGCCUUGCUCCGUCCUGCCGCGAGAAGCAUCUCCCCCAGGGUCCAGAUGAAAGAAAUUGUUUUCAAGUUUUAUUUGGUUUUUGUUGCUUUAAGUCCCUUGCUCCUCUACGCUGACAUCAUCCAGUGUUGCAUUACGCAGCCCUGACCGCCUCAGUGGCAGCACCGGCUUCCCAGCAGGACCCGUGCUGGAUGGCCUCUGAUCAAUGACAUCAUGCACGCGCAUCAAACCCGAGCACCAUGAGGGAAUAUGUGAAAGUCAACCCGGCCCCACCCCUCUGAGGCUUUUAUUUCUUCUGGAUUAAUGCAGGUGACAUGACAGCAAAGCAUUAGCGUCAGCAGAGCAAAGACAUUAGGGGAUCUUGUUCUUUGGGGCUUGAGAUUUAAUGUUCUGUUUGUUCUUUUUAUGCAUAACAGCACUGCUUGCAUAUGAAGUAUCAAAGGCUUCACAGUGAUACUUUGACUGAACAGUCUGGUAUCUAAGAAGUCAAGAGUGAAAAAAGGAAGAUCAUUUCUCUGUUCUUAGAGUACAGUAGAGAAUGCUGCUGCUGCUGCUGCUGAGGUACAGUAUAUGUGGUCCAGCAGCCCAACACAUCAGAUACUUUGGCAUCCAUUUGACCUUGACUGGCAGGAAACCAGUAACAAUAACAACGGGUUUGAGCUGGUAUGAGUUUCUCUGUUGUUCCACCUCUCAGCACUGCAGUAUAUUUUUCUAAUGGUCGUCCUCCCAGGUAACAGGCAUCACCAGCAGGCCUCGACCGAGGGAGCGGCUUUGGGGGAUGAGGAUGCAGUUUGCUUCGAGAGGUCCGUGUUUAUGUGUGUUGGCAGUUGAACACAUAAUGAUAAGCGGUGGGAAAUGGGAUUUUAAGAAAGCGGAGCCAUCAUUUACACAGUCACAGCUCACAUACGUGUUUUCCCUCUGUAAUGAAGUCAGACAGACAGGUCUUUUCCUUUAGUAAAGCACUAGUUGGGUGCGUUUGGUUUAUGUAUUCUGUUUUGCUGUGAAUAGCGUAAACUAGCUGUUUUAUCCUCUUUUUGGCCGUUCCUUCCUUAUACAGAACCAGACGAUGACAUUUGGCUGCUAUCACUCAUUCUGCCCAAAACAAAUGCAGAAGGCAAAGCCGAUUUAAUCAGAUGUGACUGUGAUUGUUUUCAAUAAAGACACAAAACACCAGUUUUUCUUUCCA